Drosophila santomea is the source of this 624-nucleotide long non-coding RNA. RefSeq lists it as uncharacterized. The record is from RefSeq and is a predicted model, not a curated record. NCBI's taxonomy places the organism in Eukaryota, Metazoa, Arthropoda, Insecta, Diptera, Drosophilidae. The transcript is spliced from 3 exons.
CUUGCAUCCUUCCAUGAAUUUUUAUUCUUGCUGGUUCCAUUUUACUCAAGCAUGCAAGAGAAAUGCAAGAAAAACAUAUGGUCUAGAAAAAAUGCUUAAAUGCAAUAAACCGGCUUAUCUUCUAUUUAUGAAAUUCUUGUACUUGCCGCUAUUACCGGAUACCAAAAUUGUCGAAGCAUUUAAUCUUCUCGAAAUACAAGCAGCUGCUCUAAGCAAGGAGAACUUUUCGCCCUUUUUAAAAUAUUAUAAAAAACAGUGGCUUAUAAAGGAAGGACCUAAAAAUAUUUCAGUUUUUAAACGUUCGACGCGGACCACAGGCUCUGUUGAAGCAUACAAUUUGAAUUUGGGCAACAAAAUACGAGCAAAAGGGCACUUUUUUAAAUUUGUUGAAUGCAUCAUAGACGCCGAAUAUGAAAAAAGUCGGGAGUUCGCUCUGCUUUUUCAAAACGGUGGUAUAGGCAAUCAGACGCAACCAAAGCAGCUUCGAGACCGUGCUCAAAAAAUUAUGAACUGUAUGGAGAUGUUCGAGAAAGGCGAAAUCGAUAUUCAGGUGUUCUUGGCACGGACUGUCGGUCUAAAUGAAACAUUUUCAAAACAAGAUCUUUUUUCUGGAAUGUGUUCCGA